CCAGUUAUACACAAAUUUAUUAGUUCUGUGACGAACCACCGGUCGCGCUUAAGGCGAAAAUAUUUAGGCAGUUCAAAUCAAAUCAAGUCAGUUCUAAUCAAAUAAUAUGGUACCGUCAAAAAUAGAAAAAAGUUUUACUGGAAUUUUAGUGAUUAUUUAAACUUUUUAUUAAAAACAAUGAUGGAAUCAGACCGUAAACCCUUUCAUAAGUAUGUUGUUCCGAUGCCGGAUUUGUUUUCCAAAAGACAUACAUUCUCGAAGAACGAUCCUACAUUAUUUCAAAAGUGAUAUCAAGUGCGAAACCUUAAAAUGGAAAAUACAACACAGUAAGAUAUUUAUAAGAUUUAUAGAGUUUGUGAUUUACAUUUUUGGAAUCAAGAUCGUACCUGGAAUAAAAAGAGGUUUAGAAGUUAAUUCUAAAGUUUUUAUAUACACCAGUUCAUAUGGAUGAUCAACCUACUGGUAAUUUGGUGUCCAGUGAUGUCGAUCCAGGUACAAACCCUGUAUUUAAAGACAAAAAUUUGUUGUAGAACUUGUUGGUGGACCAGUCUGUUGUUUGUAUUAGACAUGUACUGUUACCUGAGAUAAAAGCAGUAACUGAAAAGGAGAAAGGAUCAGAUAACCCAAAUGAGGAAUCUUCCAGAGUGCAGAUGAUGAAGUUUUUGUGAGUGAGGUAUAAGAUCUGUCUCUUGUAAGACCUCUUUUAAGAAUUUAACCCAGGCAGUUGUUUACAACCAAGUUAGAUCUCAAGCAUAGCAAAGGAAUCGUACAAUCUGUGAAUUCAGUUU
Long non-coding RNA from Sitophilus oryzae (rice weevil), 788 nucleotides. RefSeq lists it as uncharacterized. The transcript is spliced from 4 exons. Lineage: Eukaryota; Metazoa; Arthropoda; Insecta; Coleoptera; Curculionidae. The record is from RefSeq and is a predicted model, not a curated record.